UGAUCAUGCCUCAUGACAGUGGAGUUUACUGGUAGACUAAUCCAGCUGCAGUCUCCUCAGAGGUGGGAACUGAAGACAUAAGUUACAGACAAAUGGUCAUCAGACUAAAGACUCUUAGAGACUUUAAACCAGAGCCAGACGUCAUCUACUCUUCACUGAAGUAGUCCACCAAUCCAACCACUGACAUCCACUGCUGGUCUCUGAUUGGUCCUCUCAGCAUCUCAAGAGUACAACUGCUUGUUGAAAUACUUUUAUAUAUUUUGCGCCUUUUUCUCACUGAACCUUACUCAAAUGACUCAAAAAGGAC
This is a long non-coding RNA of Oreochromis aureus, 307 nucleotides long. Lineage: Eukaryota; Metazoa; Chordata; Actinopteri; Cichliformes; Cichlidae. The record is from Ensembl.